RNAcentral lists this ribosomal RNA (370 nucleotides) under uncultured organism. RNAcentral describes it as "bacterial SSU rRNA". It matches the Rfam family "Bacterial small subunit ribosomal RNA", at positions 528 to 896 of the family's 1533-position model. The record is from RNAcentral.
GGGGGGGCGAGCGUUGUUCGGAAUUACUGGGCGUAAAGGGCGCGUAGGCGGUCCGCUAAGUCGGAUGUGAAAACUCUGGGCUCAACCCAGAGCCUGCAUCCGAAACUGACGGGCUAGAGUUCUGGAGGGGGUAGCGGAAUUCCUGGUGUAGCGGUGAAAUGCGUAGAUAUCAGGAGGAACACCGGUGGCGAAGGCGGCUACCUGGACAGAAACUGACGCUGAGGCGCGAAAGCUAGGGGAGCAAACAGGAUUAGAUACCCUGGUAGUCCUAGCCCUAAACGAUGGAUACUUGGUGUGACGGGGAUUGAAUCCCGUCGUGCCGAAGCUAACGCAUUAAGUAUCCCGCCUGGGGAGUACGGUCGCAAGGCUG